GCUUUAGCAGAUUUUUUCAGUCUUUUUUCCCAUGUGUGGUGUUUUCCAGUUUGGUUUGGGCCAAAUUUUACCACCACCACCCCAAGCUGUUAUAUAUUCAGUACUUACGGCAGGGCUGGUGAUGAUAGAAGGACUUGUCUCAUGUGCUCUGAGUUACUCGUGAUCAGGAGCAGCGAUUCAGUGAAAGAGCAACAUCAUCCCAGUCCUGUUUCAUGCUCAAGAUGCCCAGGACACGCAUCAGGGACACUACUGGGUGAUCAUGAAGACAAGUGUGCUCUGAAUGCAGUGAAAAGCCUUCCCUUCAGUGAUGAGAGUUUGCUCCAGGACGAAGGAGGGGAGCUACCCUGCCUUUCUUCUGUGGUCGUGGAGCCCCUGCCCAGGGGGGUUAAAAGGAGAGAAUGGGCUGGGGCUUGCAGGCUUACCCACUUGAGGCCCUGUGGAGCAGUCCAUAAAACAAGCAUGAAUUAACGCAGCC
RNAcentral lists this long non-coding RNA (475 nucleotides) under Fukomys damarensis (Damara mole-rat). RNAcentral's name for it is "lncRNA (ENSFDAG00000030274.1)". The record is from RNAcentral. Lineage: Eukaryota; Metazoa; Chordata; Mammalia; Rodentia; Bathyergidae.